GACGAACGCUGGCGGCGUGCUUAACACAUGCAAGUCGAACGGAAAGGCCCUGCUUUUGUGGGGUGCUCGAGUGGCGAACGGGUGAGUAACACGUGAGUAACCUGCCCUUGACUUUGGGAUAACUUCAGGAAACUGGGGCUAAUACCGGAUAUGAGCUCCUGCUGCAUGGUGGGGGUUGGAAAGUUUCGGCGGUUGGGGAUGGACUCGCGGCUUAUCAGCUUGUUGGUGGGGUAGUGGCUUACCAAGGCUUUGACGGGUAGCCGGCCUGAGAGGGUUACCGGCCACAUUGGGACUGAGAUACGGCCCAGAAUCCUACGGGAGGCAGCAGUGGGGAAUAUUGCACAAUGGGCGGAAGCCUGAUGCAGCAACGCCGCGUGCGGGAUGACGGCCUUCGGGUUGUAAACCGCUUUCGCCUGUGACGAAGCGUGAGUGACGGUAAUGGGUAAAGAAGCACCGGCUAACUACGUG
Molecule: ribosomal RNA, 468 nt
Filed under: uncultured bacterium
Lineage: Bacteria
Description: partial 16S ribosomal RNA
Rfam family: Bacterial small subunit ribosomal RNA
Source: RNAcentral